Molecule: ribosomal RNA, 1535 nt
Filed under: Mediterranea massiliensis
Lineage: Bacteria; Pseudomonadati; Bacteroidota; Bacteroidia; Bacteroidales; Bacteroidaceae
Also listed under: 1 other name
Description: bacterial SSU rRNA
Rfam family: Bacterial small subunit ribosomal RNA
Source: RNAcentral
CUUUUACAAUGAAGAGUUUGAUCCUGGCUCAGGAUGAACGCUAGCUACAGGCUUAACACAUGCAAGUCGAGGGGCAGCGGGAUUGUAGCAAUACAAUUGCCGGCGACCGGCGCACGGGUGAGUAACACGUAUCCAACCUUCCGGUUACUCGGGGAUAGCCUUUCGAAAGAAAGAUUAAUACCCGAUAGUAUAAGAUUUCCGCAUGGUUUUCUUAUUAAAGAUUCAUCGGUAACCGAUGGGGAUGCGUUCCAUUAGAUAGUAGGCGGGGUAACGGCCCACCUAGUCGACGAUGGAUAGGGGUUCUGAGAGGAAGGUCCCCCACAUUGGAACUGAGACACGGUCCAAACUCCUACGGGAGGCAGCAGUGAGGAAUAUUGGUCAAUGGGCGAGAGCCUGAACCAGCCAAGUAGCGUGAAGGAUGACUGCCCUAUGGGUUGUAAACUUCUUUUAUACGGGAAUAACAUCAUCCACGUGUGGGUGUCUGCAUGUACCGUAUGAAUAAGCAUCGGCUAACUCCGUGCCAGCAGCCGCGGUAAUACGGAGGAUGCGAGCGUUAUCCGGAUUUAUUGGGUUUAAAGGGAGCGUAGACGGGUCCUUAAGUCAGUUGUGAAAGUUUGCGGCUCAACCGUAAAAUUGCAGUUGAUACUGGGGACCUUGAGUGCGGCAGAGGCAGGCGGAAUUCGUGGUGUAGCGGUGAAAUGCUUAGAUAUCACGAAGAACUCCGAUUGCGAAGGCAGCUUGCUGGACCGUAACUGACGUUGAUGCUCGAAAGUGCGGGUAUCAAACAGGAUUAGAUACCCUGGUAGUCCGCACAGUAAACGAUGAAUACUCGCUGUUGGCGAUAUACUGCCAGCGGCCAAGCGAAAGCGUUAAGUAUUCCACCUGGGGAGUACGCCGGCAACGGUGAAACUCAAAGGAAUUGACGGGGGCCCGCACAAGCGGAGGAACAUGUGGUUUAAUUCGAUGAUACGCGAGGAACCUUACCCGGGCUUGAACUGCAGCGGAAUGGCGUGGAAACAUGUCAGCGAGCAAUCGCCGCUGUGGAGGUGCUGCAUGGUUGUCGUCAGCUCGUGCCGUGAGGUGUCGGCUUAAGUGCCAUAACGAGCGCAACCCUUACCGAUAGUUGCCAUCAGGUAACGCUGGGGACUCUAUCGGGACUGCCGUCGUAAGAUGUGAGGAAGGUGGGGAUGACGUCAAAUCAGCACGGCCCUUACGUCCGGGGCUACACACGUGUUACAAUGGGGGGUACAGCAGGCCGCUACCGGGCGACCGGAUGCCAAUCCCUAAAACCCCUCUCAGUUCGGACUGGAGUCUGCAACCCGACUCCACGAAGCUGGAUUCGCUAGUAAUCGCGCAUCAGCCACGGCGCGGUGAAUACGUUCCCGGGCCUUGUACACACCGCCCGUCAAGCCAUGAAAGCCGGGGGUACCUGAAGUGCGUAACCGCAAGGAGCGCCCUAGGGUAAAACUGGUGAUUGGGGCUAAGUCGUAACAAGGUAGCCGUACCGGAAGGUGCGGCUGGAACACCUCCUUUCU